Ostrinia furnacalis (Asian corn borer) is the source of this 220-nucleotide long non-coding RNA. RefSeq lists it as uncharacterized. The record is from RefSeq and is a predicted model, not a curated record. Lineage: Eukaryota; Metazoa; Arthropoda; Insecta; Lepidoptera; Crambidae. The transcript is spliced from 2 exons.
UAGACAAUAGGCAGCACGCCACGGUACAGAUGCGCUUGACGCGCGGUCUGGUCGUGGCGCGUGACGGCGAUGAUGGGGCAGCGUGGGCGGUACUUGGACAGCAGAUGGGCGGAGCGGCCCGAGGUCGUGAUGACGACGAUGGCGGAUGCCAAGCAAAUGUUGGAUGCUGAGACUGCCGCGAUGGCAACUGAGUGGUCCUGCUUGAUGGGCGGCUUCACCU